This 1516-nucleotide ribosomal RNA is filed under the name Akkermansia muciniphila. RNAcentral describes it as "bacterial SSU rRNA". It matches the Rfam family "Bacterial small subunit ribosomal RNA". The record is from RNAcentral. Lineage: Bacteria; Pseudomonadati; Verrucomicrobiota; Verrucomicrobiia; Verrucomicrobiales; Akkermansiaceae.
AUGGAGAGUUUGAUUCUGGCUCAGAACGAACGCUGGCGGCGUGGAUAAGACAUGCAAGUCGAACGGGAGAAUUGCUAGCUUGCUAAUAAUUCUCUAGUGGCGCACGGGUGAGUAACACGUGAGUAACCUGCCCCCGAGAGCGGGAUAGCCCUGGGAAACUGGGAUUAAUACCGCAUAGUAUCGAAAGAUUAAAGCAGCAAUGCGCUUGGGGAUGGGCUCGCGGCCUAUUAGUUAGUUGGUGAGGUAACGGCUCACCAAGGCGAUGACGGGUAGCCGGUCUGAGAGGAUGUCCGGCCACACUGGAACUGAGACACGGUCCAGACACCUACGGGUGGCAGCAGUCGAGAAUCAUUCACAAUGGGGGAAACCCUGAUGGUGCGACGCCGCGUGGGGGAAUGAAGGUCUUCGGAUUGUAAACCCCUGUCAUGUGGGAGCAAAUUAAAAAGAUAGUACCACAAGAGGAAGAGACGGCUAACUCUGUGCCAGCAGCCGCGGUAAUACAGAGGUCUCAAGCGUUGUUCGGAAUCACUGGGCGUAAAGCGUGCGUAGGCUGUUUCGUAAGUCGUGUGUGAAAGGCGCGGGCUCAACCCGCGGACGGCACAUGAUACUGCGAGACUAGAGUAAUGGAGGGGGAACCGGAAUUCUCGGUGUAGCAGUGAAAUGCGUAGAUAUCGAGAGGAACACUCGUGGCGAAGGCGGGUUCCUGGACAUUAACUGACGCUGAGGCACGAAGGCCAGGGGAGCGAAAGGGAUUAGAUACCCCUGUAGUCCUGGCAGUAAACGGUGCACGCUUGGUGUGCGGGGAAUCGACCCCCUGCGUGCCGGAGCUAACGCGUUAAGCGUGCCGCCUGGGGAGUACGGUCGCAAGAUUAAAACUCAAAGAAAUUGACGGGGACCCGCACAAGCGGUGGAGUAUGUGGCUUAAUUCGAUGCAACGCGAAGAACCUUACCUGGGCUUGACAUGUAAUGAACAACAUGUGAAAGCAUGCGACUCUUCGGAGGCGUUACACAGGUGCUGCAUGGCCGUCGUCAGCUCGUGUCGUGAGAUGUUUGGUUAAGUCCAGCAACGAGCGCAACCCCUGUUGCCAGUUACCAGCACGUGAAGGUGGGGACUCUGGCGAGACUGCCCAGAUCAACUGGGAGGAAGGUGGGGACGACGUCAGGUCAGUAUGGCCCUUAUGCCCAGGGCUGCACACGUACUACAAUGCCCAGUACAGAGGGGGCCGAAGCCGCGAGGCGGAGGAAAUCCUAAAAACUGGGCCCAGUUCGGACUGUAGGCUGCAACCCGCCUACACGAAGCCGGAAUCGCUAGUAAUGGCGCAUCAGCUACGGCGCCGUGAAUACGUUCCCGGGUCUUGUACACACCGCCCGUCACAUCAUGGAAGCCGGUCGCACCCGAAGUAUCUGAAGCCAACCGCAAGGAGGCAGGGUCCUAAGGUGAGACUGGUAACUGGGAUGAAGUCGUAACAAGGUAGCCGUAGGGGAACCUGCGGCUGGAUCACCUCCUUUCUAUGGA